This 484-nucleotide ribosomal RNA is filed under the name uncultured bacterium. RNAcentral's name for it is "partial 16S ribosomal RNA". It matches the Rfam family "Bacterial small subunit ribosomal RNA", at positions 30 to 507 of the family's 1533-position model. The record is from RNAcentral.
AUUGAACGCUGGCGGAAUGCUUUACACAUGCAAGUCGAACGAUGAACCUUAGCUUGCUAAGGGGAUUAGUGGCGAACGGGUGAGUAAUAUAUCGGAACGUGCCUUGUAAUGGGGGAUAACUAGUCGAAAGAUUAGCUAAUACCGCAUACGCCCUGAGGGGGAAAGUAGGGGAUCUUCGGACCUUACGUUAUAAGAGCGGCCGAUAUCUGAUUAGCUAGUUGGUGGGGUAAUGGCCUACCAAGGCGACGAUCAGUAGCUGGUCUGAGAGGACGACCAGCCACACUGGAACUGAGACACGGUCCAGACUCCUACGGGAGGCAGCAGUGGGGAAUUUUGGACAAUGGGCGCAAGCCUGAUCCAGCCAUUCCGCGUGAGUGAAGAAGGCCUUCGGGUUGUAAGGCUCUUUCGCAAGGGAAGAAAACUUACCAUCGAAUAAAUGGUGAGGCUGACGGUACCUUGAUAAGAAGCACCGGCUAACUACGUG